UACGUAGGGCGCAAGCGUUGUCCGGAAUUAUUGGGCGUAAAGAGCUCGUAGGCGGUUUGUCGCGUCUGUCGUGAAAGCCCACGGCUUAACCGUGGGUCUGCGGUGGAUACGGGCAGACUAGAGGCAGGUAGGGGAGAAUGGAAUUCCCGGUGUAGCGGUGAAAUGCGCAGAUAUCGGGAGGAACACCGGUGGCGAAGGCGGUUCUCUGGGCCAUUACUGACGCUGAGGAGCGAAAGCGUGGGGAGCGAACAGG
Molecule: ribosomal RNA, 253 nt
Filed under: uncultured bacterium
Lineage: Bacteria
Description: partial 16S ribosomal RNA
Rfam family: Bacterial small subunit ribosomal RNA
Source: RNAcentral